AUGUCGUGGCUGCAGUACGCGGCGACCCGGAGGCAGCGCGCCGCCACGGCCUGCCUCUUCCUCACCGGCGCCGCGCUCAUCGCCGCCGCCGCGCGCCUCUCCUACGCCAACAUCGAGCCCCAGCGCGCCAAGGCCGCCCAGCGCCGCAAGGUCCUCGAGGACUUCAUCGCCCGCAAGCGCGCAGCCGUGGCCGGACCCGGAGCCGGAGCCGGAGCAGACUCCCACCCCCAGCCAGAUCCCCCCAAAACCUAG
This 252-nucleotide ribosomal RNA is filed under the name Triticum aestivum (bread wheat). RNAcentral's name for it is "partial small subunit ribosomal RNA". The record is from RNAcentral. Lineage: Eukaryota; Viridiplantae; Streptophyta; Magnoliopsida; Poales; Poaceae.